This 261-nucleotide ribosomal RNA is filed under the name uncultured prokaryote. RNAcentral describes it as "partial 16S ribosomal RNA". It matches the Rfam family "Bacterial small subunit ribosomal RNA", at positions 524 to 784 of the family's 1533-position model. The record is from RNAcentral.
UACGUAGGUGGCGAGCGUUGUCCGGAUUUACUGGGCAUAAAGGGAGCGUAGGCGGACUUUUAAGUGAGAUGUGAAAUACCCGGGCUCAACUUGGGUGCUGCAUUUCAAACUGGAAGUCUAGAGUGCAGGAGAGGAGAAUGGAAUUCCUAGUGUAGCGGUGAAAUGCGUAGAGAUUAGGAAGAACACCAGUGGCGAAGGCGAUUCUCUGGACUGUAACUGACGCUGAGGCUCGAAAGCGUGGGGAGCAAACAGGAUUAGAUA